UACGAAGGGGGCUAGCGUUGUUCGGAAUUACUGGGCGUAAAGGGCGCGUAGGCGGCGUGUCAAGUCAGGCGUGAAAGGCCUGGGCUCAACCCGGGAAUUGCGCUUGAGACUGGGCUGGCUUGAGUGCGGGAGAGGAUGGUGGAAUUCCCAGUGUAGAGGUGAAAUUCGUAGAUAUUGGGAAGAACACCGGUGGCGAAGGCGGCCAUCUGGACCGCAACUGACGCUGAGGCGCGAAAGCGUGGGGAGCAUACAGG
This 254-nucleotide ribosomal RNA is filed under the name uncultured bacterium. RNAcentral describes it as "partial 16S ribosomal RNA". It matches the Rfam family "Bacterial small subunit ribosomal RNA", at positions 524 to 776 of the family's 1533-position model. The record is from RNAcentral.